UGAAGACUUCCACAAUGGACGCAAGUCUGAUGGAGCAACGCCGCGUGAGUGAAGAAGGUUUUCGGACCGUAAAGCUCUGUUGUUGGUGAAGAAGGAUAGAGGUAGUAACUGGCCUUUAUUUGACGGUAAUCAACCAGAAAGUCACGGCUAACUACGUGCCAGCAGCCGCGGUAAUACGUAGGUGGCAAGCGUUGUCCGGAUUUAUUGGGCGUAAAGCGAGCGCAGGCGGAAGAAUAAGUCUGAUGUGAAAGCCCUCGGCUUAACCGAGGAAUUGCAUCGGAAACUGUUUUCUUGAGUGCAGAAGAGGAGAGUAGAACUCCAUGUGUAGCGGUGGAAUGCGUAGAUAUAUGGAAGAAUACCAGUGGCGAAGGCGGCUCUCUGGUCUGCAACUGACGCUGAGGCUCGAAAGCAUGGGUAGCGAACAGGAUUAGAUACCCUGGUAGUCCAUGCCGUAAACGAUGAGUGCUAAGUGUUGGGAGGCUUCCGCCUCUCAGUGCUGCAGCUAACGCAUUAAGCACUCCGCCUGGGGGAGUACGACCGCAAGGUUGAAAC
This 552-nucleotide ribosomal RNA is filed under the name uncultured bacterium. RNAcentral's name for it is "partial 16S ribosomal RNA". It matches the Rfam family "Bacterial small subunit ribosomal RNA", at positions 357 to 900 of the family's 1533-position model. The record is from RNAcentral.